UACACUCCUGCGGGAGGCAGCAGUGGGGAAUUUUGGACAAUGGGCGAAAGCCUGAUCCAGCAAUGCCGCGUGCAGGAUGAAGGCCUUCGGGUUGUAAACUGCUUUUGUACGGAACGAAAAAGCUCCUUCUAAUACAGGGGGCCCAUGACGGUACCGUAAGAAUAAGCACCGGCUAACUACGUGCCAGCAGCCGCGGUAAUACGUAGGGUGCGAGCGUUAAUCGGAAUUACUGGGCGUAAAGCGUGCGCAGGCGGUUAUGUAAGACAGAUGUGAAAUCCCCGGGCUCAACCUGGGAACUGCAUUUGUGACUGCAUGGCUAGAGUACGGUAGAGGGGGAUGGAAUUCCGCGUGUAGCAGUGAAAUGCGUAGAUAUGCGGAGGAACACCGAUGGCGAAGGCAAUCCCCUGGACCUGUACUGACGCUCAUGCACGAAAGCGUGGGGAGCAAACAGGAUUAGAAACCCGGGUAGUCCCA
Molecule: ribosomal RNA, 474 nt
Filed under: uncultured organism
Description: partial 16S ribosomal RNA
Rfam family: Bacterial small subunit ribosomal RNA
Source: RNAcentral